AAAUAAAUAAAUAAAUAAAUAGAUAAAUAAAUCACAUAUUUACCAAAAAUGAUUUUUUAUUAUUGAUUUUGCUUUACAUCAAAAAUCAAAAACCAAAGGAAAACACUAAAAGCAUACCAAAGGAAAAAACUUAAAAGCACAACUCAGAAGUCUAUGUGAGAGAAUUGCAAAAGUUAAAAAAAAAAUUCUCUUUGAAGCAUGGCCAGAUUAAGAAAGUUACAGAUUUUUGCAUCUCAUUCACAUUAGACACAAAUAACCUCGGAUUCACAUUUCAAAGUAAUAUUUAUGCAGGAUAUGGUCCAACAUUAAAAGAAAUACAUUCUGACUUCUGGAUUCACCUAAUACAAGUCCAACUAAUCAAAGAACUUCAUAUUAUGAACACAAGGAAAAUGUUAACCUCCACAUCAUACUUCUCAAGAUCCGUGUAACACCCCUAUGUUCAUUAGGUCAGUACAUUCCACUGUUCCGGUGACCAGUGUCUGU
This 483-nucleotide unclassified non-coding RNA is filed under the name Hevea brasiliensis (rubber tree). The record is from RNAcentral. Lineage: Eukaryota; Viridiplantae; Streptophyta; Magnoliopsida; Malpighiales; Euphorbiaceae.